This 513-nucleotide ribosomal RNA is filed under the name uncultured bacterium. RNAcentral's name for it is "bacterial SSU rRNA". It matches the Rfam family "Bacterial small subunit ribosomal RNA", at positions 10 to 507 of the family's 1533-position model. The record is from RNAcentral.
AGUUUGAUCGAUGGCUCAGAGUGAACGCUGGCGGCAGGCCUAAUACAUGCAAGUCGAACGGCAGCACAGCAGAGCUUGCUCGUGUGGGUGGCGAGUGGCGGACGGGUGAGGAAUACAUGGGAAUCUGCCCAGUCGUGGGGGAUAACGUAGGGAAACUUACGCUAAUACCGCAUGCGCCCUUCGGGGGGAAAGCCGGGGGACCUUCGGGCCUGGCGCGAUUGGAUGAGCCCAUGUCGGAUUAGCUAGUUGGCGGGGUAAUGGCCCACCAAGGCGACGAUCCGUAGCUGGGUCUGAGAGGAUGAUCAGCCACACUGGAACUGAGACACGGUCCAGACUCCUACGGGAGGCAGCAGUAGGGAAUAUUGGACAAUGGGCGCAAGCCUGAUCCAGCCAUGCCGCGUGAGUGAAGAAGGCCCUCGGGUUGUAAAGCUCUUUUGUCCGGAAAGAAAAGCGCCGGGUUAAUACCCUGGUGUCCUGACGGUACCGGAAGAAUAAGCACCGGCUAACUUCGUG